GAGAACUUUCCAGAGAUGGAUUGGUGCCUUCGGGAACUCUGACACAGGUGCUGCAUGGCUGUCGUCAGCUCGUGUCGUGGGAUGUUGGGUUAAGUCCCGUAACGAGCGCAACCCUUGUCCUUAGUUACCAGCACGUAAUGGUGGGCACUCUAAGGAGACUGCCGGUGACAAACCGGAGGAAGGUGGGGAUGACGUCAAGUCAUCAUGGCCCUUACGGCCUGGGCUACACACGUGCUACAAUGGUCGGUACAAAGGGUUGCCAAGCCGCGAGGUGGAGCUAAUCCCAUAAAACCGAUCGUAGUCCGGAUCGCAGUCUGCAACUCGACUGCGUGAAGUCGGAAUCGCUAGUAAUCGUGAAUCAGAAUGUCACGGUGAAUACGUUCCCGGGCCUUGUACACACCGUCCGUCACACCAUGGGAGUGGGUUGCUCCAGAAGUAGCUAGUCUAACCGUUCGGGAGGACGGUUACCACGGAGUGAUUCGAUGGACUGGGGUGAAGUCGUAACAAGGUAGCCGU
This 516-nucleotide ribosomal RNA is filed under the name uncultured Pseudomonas sp. RNAcentral's name for it is "bacterial SSU rRNA". It matches the Rfam family "Bacterial small subunit ribosomal RNA", at positions 991 to 1503 of the family's 1533-position model. The record is from RNAcentral. Lineage: Bacteria; Pseudomonadati; Pseudomonadota; Gammaproteobacteria; Pseudomonadales; Pseudomonadaceae.